UAUUCUAUCUCUAAUAAUCAUCUUCUUCUUCAUUCUUCUUCUUUCUCCUAACUCUUCUGCUGCUUCUUCUUCUUCUCUUCUGAAAAAUAGUUUAUUGCUAUCCAGUAAAAUUACAAGUUGUGAAUAAUUAGAUUCUGUAGCUAGAUUUGCAAUGGGAUAUGUAGCUUACCUCUAAGCUUCUGUGCACAAAUGGUUAUAUGUUGAAUCUUUGGACAAUCAACAUGGAUAUGAACUAUUUAAUCAUGUAACCCUGUGUGUGGCCGGCCCAAUGUGACUCCAAGUCAGUGAUAUACAGGAAAUUACACCAAACAAUCAUGCAAAUGGUCAUUUUUUAAAAUUUUGACUUUGAUUGCCUGAUAGGAAAUUUUCAAGAUCAAAAGUUAAAAAAUGUUGAAUUGCCUAAGAUGCAAGAGGGGUCAAAAGUGUAAGACCAGUCACUUACAUGUGGCUAGUUUUGUAAAUCACCAGAAGAAACAUGGAUUACAUUGUUAAAUAAUACACCACUACUGAAGAACAAGUAGACAGCUAGCUCGAUUUCAAAGGUUUUCAAACCUCUUACUAAUAAAAUGUCACUAGCUAUUGAAUCCAAAA
Molecule: long non-coding RNA, 591 nt
Filed under: Capsicum annuum
Lineage: Eukaryota; Viridiplantae; Streptophyta; Magnoliopsida; Solanales; Solanaceae
Description: long non-coding RNA (CANN_LNC006264)
Source: RNAcentral